UCGUAGUUGGAUUCCUGGCCUGGGGUAGCCGGUCCGCCUUGCAAAAGGUGCGCACUGUGCGGCCUCGGCCAUCCUUGAGAAGAGCUGUUCUGGCAUUCAGUUGUCGGGGCGGGGAUUCUCGACGUUUACUGUGAAAAAAUCAGAGUGUUCAAAGCAGGCUUACGCCUUGAAUACAUUAGCAUGGAAUAAUGAGAUAGGACCUUGGCGGUCUAUUUUGUUGGUUUGCACGCCGAGGUAAUGAUUAAAAGGGACGGUUGGGGUUCUUCGUAUUCAAUUGUCAGAGGUGAAAUUCUUGGAUUUAUGGAAGACGAACUGCUGCGAAAGCGUCGAACAAGGACGUUCUCAUUAAUCAAGAACGAAAGUUAGGGGAUCGAAGAUGAUUAGAUACCAUCGUAGUCUUAACCAUAAACUAUGCCGAUUCAGGAUUGGCGGUCGUUUGUUCUCGACUCCGUCAGCACUGUAUGAGAAAUCAAAAUCUUUGGGUUCCGGGGGGAGUAUGG
Molecule: ribosomal RNA, 500 nt
Filed under: Pelagococcus sp. RCC5658
Lineage: Eukaryota; Pelagophyceae; Pelagomonadales; Pelagomonadaceae
Description: SSU rRNA
Rfam family: Eukaryotic small subunit ribosomal RNA
Source: RNAcentral